Macaca mulatta (Rhesus monkey) is the source of this 3647-nucleotide non-coding RNA. The record is from RefSeq and is a predicted model, not a curated record. Lineage: Eukaryota; Metazoa; Chordata; Mammalia; Primates; Cercopithecidae.
CUGACCUUUAUUUUCUUAUUAUAAUCUCAGAUAAGCAGUUAAAUGGAAAUAAGAGAAAAUGAGCUAUUUCUAUAUACAAAUAGGCCUUGAUUUUUUUAACUUUCUAACUAAACUAAUUUAUUUUGAAGCACAUUAUAUUUACAUUUUCAUCCAUGUUUAGAAUUAAACACUUUGACUGGCUAUCCUUGCAUACAAAAGGAGUCCAGGAAAAAAAUUUCCAAAACAAAAAAUGGAAAGUAAGAUCCUAAAUCAAUCAAUUUAUUUUAAAAGUCUCUAAGAACCUGGAAAUGCUCUUAGGUAGACUGAAGAGUCACAAGUCUCAUACUCAUUUGUCAGUAGCCACAAACCUACUUUGUCCCUUCUGUGGUCAUCUGUCCCCUUGAUGUGGGAUUAAAUGAAGCCUGGACCACUCAGGGGUAAGCCAUUUUCAGAUAAUGGGGCUUACUUUGUCAAAGUUGUGAUGCAGAACACACAAAAUCCUGGCUCCUGGUGAGACUUAAGUGAUGUGCCAGUGGCUAAUGCUUAACAACUCACUUGAUGAUCUAUGAAUAUUAAUGUUAGGCCAUUCACUUGUAGAUUUCAGACAGGGAAUAUUUUAGAACCUUUUUUUCCCUAAUUCAUGCCUUAUGAGAUAAAAUGUGCUUGAGAACACUGUUUUAAAUUACCAGCACCCCUUCUACUCAAGUGCUACAUGCAGAAAGAGAAGUCAAGUUAUUCCCAGCAUUGCAAUGCAGUAUUCUCCAAUAGCAGCAAAGUUUCCAGGCUAGCUCACAGGGGCUAGCCUAGUGGAAAUAUUAACAAAUUGCUGAAUAACUCUCGUAUAUGGAUGCAAUUUCAUCCACUGAGACCAUGUACAAUGCCUGGGAGCAUAGAGAUGCUCAGACCAUUGCCCUCUGAGGACUUGUUUUGAAUGAGAGGCAACAAACAGCUUCCACAGUGGAUCGGAUUCUCUUUGUUCUUGGCCUAAGAUGUAGAUUAUAAGUGCCCAGCCUUCCUAUUUCUCCUGGUACCUGUGCAAGCUGAUGGCUCACAGCAGGUGGGGCACACAUUCAGUGGCCUUGUUAGUCUAGCUUUAGAAGUCCAUAAGAUAAAAGGCAAAGUUUGAGUUCCCAAAUAAUUCAUAAUAAACAGCAUAUAUUUUAACAACCUUUUUGACUGUCUUUUUUCCAACAAAAGACAUUUUCUCAUCUAUUGUUUAAAAUAAAAUUCCACAGGCUCUGCUUUGACCUGCAGUAUUUUAUCUAUCCUGAGUCUCAGGACACUGUCGAUGGAAUUAAUGUAUAAUGUGUUAAGGCCUGUGUGACUUUCUCUUGUUUACUUUGGGGGGAAGGAUGCCAGGCACAUAUGCAAUGUCUCAGUGCUAAUGCUCUAUGAUGGAUUAACUCAAAGCAUUGGGAGAUGACUCAUAUUAUUGUAGCAUGCUUUCCGUUAUUGAAGGUGGAGGGUGGGUGGUGGUAGAAUGUGAUUCUACAGAAAAGGUCCACGUCUUCAGAAGUUCUCCUGGCACUUUUUAUUUUGAGGCAAAUGUGCUCAGUUUUUGUUCUCAUUCUGUCUUUUGAGUUCUGAUACCCAGCAGGAUUUUCACAUGUGUUUAUGUUGAAAUUAAACCAAUGCAAAAAUUUUUACCCGAUAUGUUGCUAAUUCCUGAGCCUAUUCUAUUUACAGUUUUUUCCUCCUGCAUAACCCAUAUCUUAUUAAAUGUCUUUUCUUCUUCUAGAUUGUUUUCAAUAGCAGCUCAAUUUUAGUUUUAUUCAGUCUCAAUUUUAGAAAAACCCUGAGAUUAGCCAAAUAUUUGAACAUUGUUAGGUAUUAAUCAGUUUAAUCAGAAAAAAAGAUAUAGGAACAUUUCCUACAGUUCCAGAAGAGUGAGCUGUACUAGCUGAGGGUUAUUUAAUAACAAGUAGUAUUUCAUCAAAGCUUACAUAUGUGGACACUAAUGAUGAGUCAUCACCAGAGGAAGAUGAAAAAUCUGCAGUCUGUAUUUGUGUUGAUGCCACAUUUCAGGGCAAAGGUUUUGCAUCCAGACCAUGCACUCUACCAUCCUAAAUCCAUGGGUGCUGUGCCAGUGGCUGUUUUCAUACUAAAAAUGUAGGGAGAAAAUGGGCUAACUCCUGGGCUCUCUGACUGCAGUCAGGCCAAGGACGAGGGAACCAGCAUCUGUUCACUAGGGUGAGGAUUUAAAGCAUCUUCUGAGUUUUCAAAUCCUACCAAGAAAAGCUUCAGAGGCAGACCUUGAGUCUCUUUGAACUCCAUCCUGUCUUUGAAUGACUGGGCUCCUCAGCAGGUCUACAGAUGUCUAGUUCUUUGUGGGGUGGUGGUAACUCUUGACAUUUAUUGUCCAGAUCUGAUCUGCAGCACUUAGGAUGCCUCCAGCCUAUGGAGAUGGAGUAUACAUCAUGCAUGUUCACUGUACAUGCUACACCACUUCUCAAGCCUCAACCUCUAUCAAAGGGCUUUUGGGAAUGGCCCAAGAUGGGAGUAACCUCUCUUUUCAGCUGCGUCAAAUUCUUACACCACGUUCUUUUGUUUUUUUCCUCAUAAUACAAGGCCAAGCACAUCUGCAAAAAAGACAUUGCUGGAGGAGGUGCAAGAGCUGGAAACCAAGUUUCCUGUCCUGGGAAAAGCAGUGGUGUGGAAGAGCAGUGGAAAGAGAUGGGUAACAGACUAUCUUCAGCCUGUACUCCUCUGGAGUGCAUUAUGAAGCAUUGGGACUCCUAUGACCCCAGGACUUUGAAGAAAAAGUGGCUAAUUUUCUUUUGCACAAAGCUGUGAGACAAUGAAACUCGAGUGUUACUCCAGACAUCGAAGCUAUUUUAUUAUGAAAGCAUACUUCUGAUUAUGCAGUCUCCUGCUUAAAUUUUUUAAAUGGCUUUCCAUUAGAAUGAAAUUUAAAAGUCCUUUAUGCCCUGAAAGCCUACACCAAUUGACUCCUAGCUUCAUCUGUGAGUAUCUUAUUUCUUUUCUUACUUUACCAUAAUGACUGUAUCAGCUAGGGUUGAUUGUUGCAUAAGCCACAGAAGUAAAUUCUGUGCAAUUUAAGCAAAAAGGGGGAAUAUAUUACCUAUUUCUGCUUGUUGCACAGAAUUAAGUGCAAUGCCUGUCUCGUAAUUCUGGAAGGACAGAAAUAAGCUUAGUUUUAAGAGUUAGAUGAACAAGAAUUAACUAAUAGGCUUCAUUUUACUACCAUUGGACUAACAUAGGUCUGACCAUUUUCUGCCCUUUUGAGUACAUGUUUAAAGUUUAAACACCCAAGAGAAACUAUUAUUGUCUUGGCAUGUGUCACAUGUUCAGCCAUGGGCCAAGAGGGUAUGAAAUGUGGGAGGCACAAUUCACUGAUAGAAAAUAUAAUGCUAUUUGGGAAAGAAUAUAAUGCUAUUUGAAAGGAAUUCUGAGUAAGUAAAAACAACAGAAAUUGUUUCUAAGGAUUUCUUAUUAGUCGAUGCGUCACUUUUGCAGAGAUACCUGCUCUAAACUGUUAAUCUCAGUGGUCAUCUUUUAAAAUUCUGUCAAAGCACAUUUCAACUUUUUGUUGGGAACAGACCCCCCAAAAUUUGGCCAUAAACUGGUCCCAAAACUGGUCAUAAACAAAAUCUCUGCAGUACUGUGACAUGUUCAUGAUGGCCAUGAUGCCCAUGCUGGAAGGUUGU